This 1230-nucleotide ribosomal RNA is filed under the name Triticum aestivum (bread wheat). Its description in RNAcentral is "partial small subunit ribosomal RNA". Lineage: Eukaryota; Viridiplantae; Streptophyta; Magnoliopsida; Poales; Poaceae. The record is from RNAcentral.
AUGCCAACUGUAGUGAUCAGAGAGCCAACCACCAUCAGAGGAGUUCAACAGAUCAAGGGGAAGACUCCUCUUUCAGCAGUCCCACCUAAACCACCUAAGCAGCAAAAGAUUGUCAAGUUUGCCAAGGGCACAAAGGGGAAACAGGGCACAAAAGGUUUGGGGUUCAGAGACGAGACAGAACUGCAUGCCGCAACCAUUGAUGCAGGGGUGCCAAGUUCUGCUAGGUUGCUGCCAACUCAGACUGGAAAGAUGCCAACUACAGAUACCAGUGUGCCAACUGAUGUGCCAGUUAGCAGCGUGGUCACAGUCAAAACCACCACUGCUGCUGAGGGAGGCACCACUGCAACUGCAAGCCCCAAGGUGUCUACUCAUAGAGAUAAUUCAAUGCCAGACAUGAAAGGAGAUGGUGAUGCUCCAGCACCUGCUCCAGCAGUAGAAACAGCGAAAGCCGGUGCUGUUGCCAUAGAUGAGGGUGAGUUAGACCCAGCAGCUUUGAAUGAAGGAUGCGCUACUGCUGAUGCUGGCAAGGCAAUAGCUCAAGAGCCAGAUGUUGGAUCACCAGACAAUUGCCACACCCCGAUAGGUGAACUAGAAGUUGGCACAAGCAGUUCUUCAGGACCACCUGUUGCACGAAGACAGAGGAGGGUAAUAAGGCCUGCAGCAUCUCAAAGGUCUCUAGUCAUUAACAACAACAAGAAGAAGACGUUCACCUCCAAUGAGGCAGUCAACAAGCUUUACGCUGCCCUCAUGUAUUGGGUCAGGCAUAUUCCAGGAGCAAAUAAUGAGGCUACCAGCGUGUAUCUGUGUCUGAAUCAUUCACACGUGCAGGUCAUGCUGCCAGUGCUCGAGUGCGCUGAUAUAAAUGAUAAGGAGGGAGGGAGGCAUUAUUGGGUUUUCAAUGUCAACUUGAGGGACGGACGUUUCGAAGUUCUUGAUUCAAGCAGGAAGCUGGACAAUAUUGAGCUCAUGAACACCGCCUCUACCAUCGCGGGUACAGUACGCCACCUAUGGAGGAAGCAUUACCCAAAGUUCAGCAUCGAGCACUUCCAGAUUAUUGACAUUGGCGUACCAAAGCAGCUCGGCAACAAUGAGUGUGGGUUAUCCACACUUCUUAACGCCAUUGAGUGGAACGGUAGCCAACUGCCCAACUACGAACCCAAGGAAGUACUCAACAUCAGGAAGAAGCUGGCAUAUGAUUGGGUCACCAGCCCGCACAACUCCGCCCCAUAG